UACGAACUGUGCAAACGUUAUUCGGAAUCACUGGGCUUAAAGGGUGCGUAGGCGGCUGUUUAAGUAGGGUGUGAAAGCUCCCGGCUCAACCGGGGAAUGGCGCUCUAAACUGGACAGCUUGAGUGAGACAGGGGUGUGCGGAACUGCCGGUGGAGCGGUGAAAUGCGUUGAGAUCGGCAGGAACGCCAGUGGCGAAAGCGGCACACUGGGUCUCGUCUGACGCUGAGGCACGAAAGCAUGGGUAGCGAACGGG
This 253-nucleotide unclassified non-coding RNA is filed under the name uncultured Planctomycetales bacterium. RNAcentral's name for it is "contains 16S-23S intergenic spacer region". It matches the Rfam family "Bacterial small subunit ribosomal RNA", at positions 524 to 776 of the family's 1533-position model. The record is from RNAcentral. Lineage: Bacteria; Pseudomonadati; Planctomycetota; Planctomycetia; Planctomycetales.